GGUUUGAGUAAAAAGAGUGACGAAUGGAGAACUAGGGUGCACUAAAGAGGACGGAGCCCCCCGAAAUGGCGGAGGAGAGACUUUGAAGCCCUAAUGUCCUGUGCGGCAACGCAGCGGGGGGGCCAGGGGAGCGAAACAUCCCAGUACCGGGCCCCCCACCCCCCUCCCCACCCCAUAGUGGGUGUUUCGGGGGGGGGCACAGUAAAAAUCAAACGAGAUUCCGCAAGUGGCGGCGAGCGAAAGCGGACGGGCCCUUUCCCGUAGGACCCCCCGGCCCGGCCGGGGGGCGGGGGUCGCCCACCCAGGGGCGGGCGAGUAGUGAUGGGAAGAUGGGUGGCCACACAUCCAAGGCUUAAUAACUAGUGUCACACCGAAAGAGAGGAGUACUGUGAAGGAAAGUUGAAAGAGACUUGAAAAGACCUUGAAAUGAGUCACUUAAAGCAGUUGUAACACAACGUACCUUUUGUAUAAUGGGUCCACGAGAUAAAAUUUGGCAAACUUAAAGUGCAAUCUCGCAGCCACCCCGCAGGGGAUGGCUGGGGGGAUUGUUCUUGGCCCCUAAGGUGUAGUGAAAGCAAGGGGGGGGGAUACCCCCACCCCUCAGUCAAAUUUCCCGAAACCAAGUGAUCUAGCCAUGGGCAGUUUUUAGGAACGAACCGGUGGUUGUUGCAAAAACCUCGGACGACCUGUGGUUAGGGGCGAAACGCCAAUCGAACUUGGAGAUAGCUGGUUUUCUGCGAAAACUAUUGAAGUAGUGCGUCCACAAUUCAAGGAACCUUCACCCGAAUGGGUGGCGGUUGCUAGUUGGAGAAGUCGAAUCAAGAUUUGCAUUCUCCGAUGAGAAUGGCUUGGAAUGCGGUAAAGCCCGACCCCCCGAAGCCGGGGGAUUAACUAUGAAGAAAAAAAGCCAGAGUGGGACAGACAGACUGUGGGCGAUAAGGUCGACGGUCAAAAGGGGAGAAGCCCUAACCAGAAGUUAAAGUCAUUAAUAAAAUUUAGUGUAAAAGAGAUAUUGGGUUUAGACAAUGGAGAAGUAGGCUUGGAGCCAGCCACCUUUGAGAGAUGACGUAGCAGUUCACUCAAGAAAUUCUUUUAUCUCUAAAAUUAUGGUGGCUAAAGUUGAACUGAAACUCUGGGGGCGAAAUAACAAGGUGGCGGUUGCGAGGCCUUCUUCGAAGACUUGAACCCCCGCCCUUCGUUAUGUUUGCCCGGUAGCAGAACGUACUGUUAAUUGUUCAGUGAGAGCCCCACACGGCAUCAGAAGUGAUAAUGUGGACAUGAGUAAAAAAUCAUAGGAUCACUCCCCCCCUGGUUUCCCAUAUUAGUUAUGGGGUUAAACAGCCCCUAAAAUUGCAGCCCCAAAGGUUGCGUUAAUGGGGGCCAUGAGUAAUAGACGCACAAAGUGCCAGGAAAGAAUUAUUCAAGGGCAUCGGUAAAUCGAAGGUGAUAACCAUCUUUCGGCGCCGCACUGUACUAAACUAACUAAAGUGGGGGAUAGUGAGGGGAUAAAUUUCCUUAAGGAACUCGGCAAAAUCCCAAUGGCCCACCAGGGCAUAUAUUGGAACACGGGCCUCGACUGUUUACCAAAAACAUAGCCCUCGGCCAAUAUGAAAAUAGAAGUAUGGAGGGUGAGGCCUGCCCAAUGGUUGUAUCUAAAAGCGGUUGAUAAAAGUCGACCGUGUAAGGACAAUUGAAUGGCCGCGGUAACACUGACCGUGAUAAUGUAGCGUAAUCAAUAGCCAAUUAAUUGUUGGCCAGUAUGAAUGGCGCCACGAAGGCCCCACUGUCUUAAGGAAAUUCCCAGUGAAAUUGAAUUCGUAGUGAAGAUGCUACGUCCAAUUUGUUAGACGAAAAGACCCCGUUGAGCUUUACUGGGGCACUUACACGGCCCCGGCCUUCAAAACUGGGUUGAUAAGCCAAGGCUUACCAUACCUAGGGACCGGCCGAAUUUAAAUGGGCGGCUUAGACUAUGUGGCAGCCCCCCCCGUCGGGGCAGAUGAAACCCCACUCCCCCAUGUCAAAGGGGCUAACCCCCCCCCUUGGGGGGGACAGUGUAAGUAGGACAGUUUGGUUGGGGCGACCGCCUUUUAGAGAGUAACGAAGGUGCGCUUAAGGUGCGUAAUUAAUGACUGAAGCCUGACUGCGAGGGGGACACCCCGAGCAGACACCCCCAAGCCCGCCCUCGCCUUCGUACCAACGGAGGGAGGGCGGCGGUGGGGUGGGCCAUAGUGACCCGUUAAUUUAGAGUGGAAUAGUUAACGAUCAACGAAUAAAAGUUACCACGGGGAUAACAGCGUAAUAUCGUUAGAGAGUUCACAUCGACGACGAUGUUUGCGACCUCGAUGUUGAAUUGCGGCAUCCUGGGGUGCAGCCGCUCCCAAGGGUUGGUCUGUUCGUCCAUUAAAGCCGUACAUGAUUUGAGUUAAAAGCGUGGUAACACAGCUUGGUUUCUAUCUACAAAUUGAAGAAACAUCGAUAUAACUAUCUUCUAGUACGAAAGGACCGAAGGAUUAGUGAUCCUCUUAUUUUUUAUAAGUUACGAUCAACCCAUUGACCUCAACCCCGAGAAGGCUUUGCCUUCUGGGCGAGGGGUCUCUCAGCUAAUCACUGACCGCUUCUAAAGUGGGAAAGUCAUAUCGAAAUGUUUGGGCCCAUUAUAGGGGGGCUAAAAACCUCACCAUCACGAGCCCGCUAUAGCGGCCUCCUAAGGAGGGGAUGGUGGCCAGCCCUCGGGCUGGGAUUA
RNAcentral lists this ribosomal RNA (2743 nucleotides) under Parazoanthus swiftii. RNAcentral's name for it is "large subunit ribosomal RNA". It matches the Rfam family "Bacterial large subunit ribosomal RNA". Lineage: Eukaryota; Metazoa; Cnidaria; Anthozoa; Zoantharia; Parazoanthidae. The record is from RNAcentral.